Molecule: ribosomal RNA, 182 nt
Filed under: Salmonella enterica subsp. enterica serovar Johannesburg
Lineage: Bacteria; Pseudomonadati; Pseudomonadota; Gammaproteobacteria; Enterobacterales; Enterobacteriaceae
Description: partial 16S ribosomal RNA
Rfam family: Bacterial small subunit ribosomal RNA
Source: RNAcentral
AAAUUGAAGAGUUUGAUCAUGGCUCAGAUUGAACGCUGGCGGCAGGCCUAACACAUGCAAGUCGAACGGUAACAGGAAGCAGCUUGCUGCUUUGCUGACGAGUGGCGGACGGGUGAGUAAUGUCUGGGAAACUGCCUGAUGGAGGGGGAUAACUACUGGAAAUGGUGGCUAAUACCGCAUAA